Molecule: long non-coding RNA, 6006 nt
Organism: Hemicordylus capensis (graceful crag lizard)
Lineage: Eukaryota; Metazoa; Chordata; Lepidosauria; Squamata; Cordylidae
Exons: 3
Source: RefSeq, a predicted model, not a curated record
AUAUAUGCAGCUUAGGAAAGGGCUGCAGGGAUGAAAAGAAAUCGACAUUGCCGAAAUUCCUGCUUCUAUACAAUACAACUAUGAAAUGUACAGGAGCUUUGUUCUCCUUUGAAGCUAACUGUCUGAUUUCCCGCUAAUAAAACAUUCUUGUAUACAAAAAGGAUUAAUCUGGUCACAAAGAUGUUAGCAGAGAUUCAAGUUUCUCCAGUUGGAAAGGUGCUAACCCAUAAAGAAGGCACGAAGGUUGCUUCAGACUCUGUUUGACAAGAUAAGUAUCUAGAUCUAGCAAAAACUUAACAUAUCUGAAGCUUAGAGAAAGCAAAAUUGAAUCUCAACAUAUCUGAGGCAUAGAGGAAGCAGAAAGCAUAGUCUGGAAAUCUAGAUCUAGAUAUCUCCAGCUUUUCCACACACUCCAGUAUGAUCCAGAAAACAACUAAGUAGCAGGACUACAUAGACAGGACUUGGUUUGGUGCUUAGUGGCUUUCAUUAAGUUCUACGGGCUGCAGACUACAACCUAGAAUAGAGUUGAAAGGGGACAAAACCUCCUUCUGAGCAGGGAGGACAAAACUUGCUUCUGAUAAUCAGAGGCAAGAGAUAUGUUUAGCCCAAGCCUACCUCCACUCCACUUGUGCUCCUGAGGACAUGCCUUUCCUUCUUCUUGAAUAAAUGAAUGGGUGUCAUUCAUUCCUGUAGGGGAAAGUGAAGUGCUGCAAUUGGCACUGCCGUGGAAGUAAAAUCUGCUCACGAUAUCUAACACUAGAUGGCCAGGCCCGCACAAACAGUGACACCCAUGGGGAAACCAAAUCCCUUCCCCCACAAUACCAUAGUUCUAGGGUUAAGAAGGAGUUAAGAUCUACCACCACCAAGAAAAUCAGGAUCCAGCUUUAGAAGCAUCACAUAUUCCAUCAUCCGCAUCCUGAAUUGGACUUCCUCCAUUUGGAGUGAGGAAGCAUUGCUUGCUACCACCUCUUCCUCCUUUUCAGGGCCUAGAAACUGUGUUUGGUUUCGGGGGCCAGAGAGCAUAUAGUUUCAUUUUUGCUGUACCUGAAUUAAUGGCCUUACUUGUGGUUGAAAGGGUUGAGGGACAGGGAGAAGAAAUUGGGGGCUGAGAUUGGAUAAUCCUACAAAGAAUGGUGGACAAGAGAGAUGAAGUGCUUUUGACCUUUGUUGUUCACAGUCACCCUGAAGAGUUGUCUUAUUGCAGUUUAACAAAAAUUAGCUGUGUUUAAGCAUAAUUUAAUGAAGCUGCAAACUUUCAUGAAAACAUGAGAAGAGUUCGCCACCGUGAAAACAUUAAGUACUGUGUAGAAACUGUUAGGUGCCUAAAAGUCCCAGUGAAAUGCAUUACAUAACUGUGUGCUUAUGCCCCACUGAUUUCAAUAGAUCACCGGACUGUCAUAUGAUUGUAACCAUUGUUAGAAGGAAAACUGGUAGCUGUCUAAAGAAUGGAUGAAUCGCUGCUUAUUCCGCAGCUGUGCUGGCUUGACCGAUCAAUAGCCUUCUUCCAAUGCUUCCUUGCAGGCCAGCUCUACAUCCAUUGCUGGAUUCUUCCACCUCCAUGCUACUACUAUCCUCCUCUCUGCUGGUCUGUUAGUUGUGCUGGCUAUCAGUGGCUCCAGCAAUUCCCUCUUGAGUGAAUUGUCACAUGGUUCUAUGUGUCCAGUUAUGGUGUGGGAUGGUAGAGCAGGAGAUCUCUUCCUUCUCUCUGGAUACAACUUCCUCACUUUGAGCCUAUAGCAAUGCUUCGAAAAACACUGUGGACAUAUUUCAGACUCAAAAUAUCCCUCCUCCACAACUUAAAUCUAAAAUGCCCUUGCUUGUCUGCCUUGAUGUAAAACACAGAAGAGAUGCAUGAUGAUGACUAUAUGAUGUAAUUUACUGUAAUUUGGUAACCAAUGUUCUUUACGUGCUGUGACUAACCACAGAUGCCCUCUAGUGGCUUUAGCACAGAGCAGUGUGCUGCCUUUAUUGGCACACAAUAUCCCCUGCAAGUGUAAAGGAUACUCUUGCUUGUACCCAGAAUCAACUACAUGCAUGAUACUGGCAUGAUAUCAGCAUCAAAGAAGUGAUGGAUCCUCUUUUCACUUGGUAGUUUCUUGUUUCUAUACCUUAUUAAUUCCUAUCUCUAUCACAUAUGAAACCUACAUGUAACAUUUUUAGCCAAAAUCUUACAGUUGAGCCUCAUGCAUGAGUUUGUUCCACAAAAGGUACCUUACACAAUCCUUCUUCACAUCAGUGUUAAAUCUAAAGACAGUUUUGUUCAUUAGGAAACCUAGAAGAAUAGGGACACAAACACCUGUUUGGCUGUAGGGCCACAUUUCUGCCUUUCUGAAAAAAAUGUUCAUCCCUCACUGGGAGUGUGGGUUUGAGGAGUAAGUUGAGGAGUUCCCCCCUCAUUUUACUGAAUACCCACCACCACCACCACCACCAAACCUACUAACCUAUAUCUCCACCCCAAAGUGUUUUUCUUCCCUCUGGAAAAGAUUUGUGAGGAGGUGCUCCUCAAGCUUCCCUGAAUCUGCAGCCCUGUCCCUCAAUUUCAACUGUUUCGAGCUCAAAACAAAUUGCCUUUAAAAUAAAGGGCCUGUUUCAAGCUCGAAACAAAACUAUUCUGUUUAAAGCUCAAGUUGUUUCAAAUGUUUUCAGCACCAUUUUUCCAGGGAGAGCUUGUCUACCAAUUGGGGUCAGGUAGAUCUUACAGAUCUUUCUGGUCUACCAAUUGGGAUCAGUGGGUAGAGCUUACAAAUCUUUCUGCAGACCUUACAGAUCUACUUGCCUCACACAGCGGGUAAACCAGGUCUCAGCUCCAGAAUGGUCUACCUGCCGCAUGAGGUGGGUAGACCAGGCCUCUGCUCCAGGCAGCAUGUUGGCCACCAUGGAGGACUGGUCUACCUGCCAACCCCAAUUGGUAGAUCAGCUCUCCCCAGAAAAAUGGCACUUGAAACAUUCGAAACACUCAAAACGUUUUAAGUGUUUCAUCGAAACAGCAAGCGUUGCUGCUGUUUCUAUGAAUCUAUCUGAGGAUUCUGCAUUUCGUUUCGAGCUCGAAAAUCUGUUCCGUGCAUACCUCUAGUAACAAAUGUACCUCUAGUAACAAAUGGGAUGUGUACUGGAAAAAGCUGGAAUGCCCACUUACACAAUAGACACUCUUUUGACUCAUUAAAAAGCCAUGUAAGUAAAUAUACUUCGCAUAUGUUUAAAGCUUACUUAAAUACCUUCCAUGUUUACAUAUUUUCACAUUUGAAUAAUGGCAUGUAAAGAUAUGUGGUUUUUUUACUAACAUUUUGGAAAUAACUGUAAGGAAACAUCAAAGGAAAUGAACUAGUGCUGAAAUAUCUGAAAAAUGGCAAACUGUACAUUUAGGAUUUUUUAAACAUAUAAAGGCCAUAUACACCAGAAGCCUAACGCAGGCUAGGGAAGCCCAGCUCGGUUGGACUGCUUAUGUGGAGCACUGGGAUCACUCCUGAUCCCAGUGCUUCUGCCCUGUUUAGCCCAAAUUUUUAGCCCAGUGUUUAGCUGAGGUUAAAUGAACCUGUAGUUUGUUUAACCUCGUUAGGCGAUGAUUGCUUGCAACAAUGAUUGCCAACAUGGUGAUUCUCUUUAUUUAGCAGGGGCCCAGCACAGUACCUCCAGUGACUAUUGCUGGUGUCUAUCUUAUGUUUCUGUUUAGAUUCUGAGCCCUUUGGAGACAGGGAUCCAUUGUAUUUAUUUAUUAUUUCUCUGUGUAAACCACCCUGAGCCAUUUUUGGAAGGGCAGUAUAGAAACUGAAUGAAUGAAUGAAUGAAUGAAUGAAUGCCAUUGGGUUAAAAGGCUCCCCCCCACCCUGCAGCCCAUCACCAUUUCCAGCAGCAAGCCAGGAGAAGGAACAGCCAUGUCAAGCAUAGUGGAUGCUCUAAGGAGAUCAGCCACUGCACUCCUGGCAUGGGGCACUCUGGGAUGUGGGAGGGGAGGUCCUCCCACUCCCGGAUUUUUCCUUCACUGUGCUGCAAACGGGCACACAGCAUAGUGAAGGCAAAGACGACAACUCUCAUCUGCCGGGAAAGGCAGGCAAGCAACUGCCUUCCGCACACCUCCCAGCGGUGGUGUGAGGUCGUGUGCAUGACCUUUGAAUUGCAUGUAUCAGUCAGCCAGGCCAAUCACUCCUUUGUAGUCCAUUGUGAAAACUAUGAUAUUCUACUGAAAGGAAAUUAAUGUGGCUAAGUAAAUUUAAAAGCAUAACCACUCACUCCCUAUUAAAAUCUAUUUUGAGCAGCCCAAUAAAACCUUCUAGAUGAAUAGAUAUGCCUAUUUGAUCAUUUCAAUUUGACCUUUUUUUUGUUGUUCAGCAAUUUUGAUAGUAUUCUGCAAAUCAAUGAAGCAAAUCUGAAUGCCCACAAUCUCUAAAUACUUGUGGUCAAAUGUCAGUGCUGUCAUCAAUUUGUAUGAUGUCACCUUGUUAGAAAGAACCAGUGUGGAGGAGUCGAUUGGAAGUUUUUCUUCUCUUUGGGAGACCUGGGUUCAGGUCUCACCUCUACUAUAACCUCAUUACACAGCUUAUCUUCCAGCUUCAGUUCCCCGCUUUGCAACAACAACAACAAAAUGAAAUGCAUAUAACUGCCUAAUGAUAACAUUCUGCCAGUCCCAAUUACUGGAAUCACCAAUGUAUGAGUGAUUAAGCCCACGUAGCAACACAGCAGUGUUAAUACCCAUAAAGAAAUUCCAUGCCCCCAAAUAGGUGCUGAUUGCAAGGAAGUUCCCUAGUUAUAUUCCUUAAUAGAAAAGACGUCUCUGUGCACAGAGGAUAGGGAGGGAGGAGGAAUUAUACCAAAUAUUUCAGAUAUUUUUUCAUGGCUUUCUGAUAGGAAGCAAGGAUUUAUUGCAAACAGCUUUAGCUGAAACUAUGCUUCAUUUUUCACAUUUUCAGCUUGUUAAAGAACUCCUCCCCUUUUCAAUGAUUUUUCAGCACUCCUUGUGAAAAUGUUCACAUAUUCUUUUAACUUUCCUCAUGUUAUUCUCAGUUGUCCUCAGUGACAUAGCCAAGUCUGACUGGUUACUAUUAUAUUAGGAAACAUCUAAUGGUAUUGUCAUAAUGGCAGAUGUAAUGUCAUGGUGACACCAUCCCAUUUACUAUGGACUCUUCCAGACAACAUUAAGAAGCACUGUUCCAAGCAUGAAUUUUAUUCACUUUCCACACACUUUAGGCAGCUUGUGUUGUCUUUUGCAGCACAAAUUCAUGAUCUGUCCAUAUGCACAGCAGGGCCCUUGCACAUUUUUAGCAGUGCCAUCUGCCGGCCUGCUCUUGUUUUCUGUGAAGAACUGAAUGCUACUUUUAUGGUGAAUUGAGGUUCUUCAUGGAGAACAACAGCUGACCAGCAGCUGCUAAAAUUGUGCAAGGGUCUUGCUGUGCAUAAAGACAGGGUGUGAAUUUGCUGUGGAAAACACAAUGCAAGCCUCCAAGUACAACCAGAAUAAAAAUGCAUUUGGAAAAGAGCAGGAACAGCUCUUCUUACUUUCCCUUGGAAGAGUCACAUAUACUCUCUGAUUGGAUGGGAUAACCCUUGUGACUAAUUCAGGCAGAAAGAAAAAGAAGCUGAGUUCUCUGAUUUAUGAGUUGUCUGAUGAAGGACCACCCGAAAUGGGUUUAAGAAUCCCGGGUUAACCCAUAAGGACUUUUACAAGAACUCUCUCACAGGAUCUUCUAUUUGGCAAGAAGUUUCAGUCUCUUUUGAUGCUAUAUUUCUAUACAUGCAUGCUCAGGCAUCAGUAUAUCAACACCUCUAUUUUAUUUGGAAAUUGCCAUCUACAUUGGAGCAAUCAUCAUUCUACAUAUGGACUUAUAUACAGUUUGUAGUAUUUUCAUGUGUAUAUUCACUCCUUACUAUAUUGUUGUCCUAUUAUUAGAGUUUAAAUAUUUGGAUACAUGCAUGUGCAGAAUUUUUGUCAGACCAUUGGUACUUGUUCCAGUUUACUGGAUUAUGAUUGUUAUGGUUUCAUUCUAAUAUAGCAUCUUGAAUUUGUUUCACAGA